AUUGAACGCUGGCGGCAGGCCUAACACAUGCAAGUCGAGCGGUAGAGAGAAGCUUGCUUCUCUUGAGAGCGGCGGACGGGUGAGUAAUGCCUAGGAAUCUGCCUGGUAGUGGGGGAUAACGUUCGGAAACGGACGCUAAUACCGCAUACGUCCUACGGGAGAAAGCAGGGGACUUUCGGGCCUUGCGCUAUCAGAUGAGCCUAGGUCGGAUUAGCUAGUUGGUGGGGUAAUGGCUCACCAAGGCGACGAUCCGUAACUGGUCUGAGAGGAUGAUCAGUCACACUGGAACUGAGACACGGUCCAGACUCCUACGGGAGGCAGCAGUGGGGAAUAUUGGACAAUGGGCGAAAGCCUGAUCCAGCCAUGCCGCGUGUGUGAAGAAGGUCUUCGGAUUGUAAAGCACUUUAAGUUGGGAGGAAGGGCAGUAAAUUAAUACGUUGCUGUUUUGACGUUACCGACAGAAUAAGCACCGGCUAACUCGGUG
RNAcentral lists this ribosomal RNA (484 nucleotides) under uncultured bacterium. RNAcentral's name for it is "partial 16S ribosomal RNA". It matches the Rfam family "Bacterial small subunit ribosomal RNA", at positions 30 to 507 of the family's 1533-position model. The record is from RNAcentral.